AGAGUUUGAUCCUGGCUCAGAUUGAACGCUGGCGGCAUGCCUAACACAUGCAAGUCGAACGGCAGCACAGUCGUAGCAAUACGAUGGGUGGCGAGUGGCGGACGGGUGAGGAAUACAUCGGGACCUGCCCAGACGUGGGGGAUAACGUAGGGAAACUUACGCUAAUACCGCAUACGUCCUACGGGAGAAAGCGGGGGAUCUUCGGACCUCGCGCGGUUGGAUGGACCGAUGUUCGAUUAGCUAGUUGGUGGGGUAAUGGCCUACCAAGGCGACGAUCGAUAGCUGGUCUGAGAGGAUGAUCAGCCACACUGGGACUGAGACACGGCCCAGACUCCUACGGGAGGCAGCAGUGGGGAAUAUUGGGCAAUGGGCGCAAGCCUGAUCCAGCAAUGCCGCGUGUGUGAAGAAGGCCUUCGGGUUGUAAAGCACUUUUAUCAGG
Molecule: ribosomal RNA, 439 nt
Filed under: uncultured bacterium
Lineage: Bacteria
Description: bacterial SSU rRNA
Rfam family: Bacterial small subunit ribosomal RNA
Source: RNAcentral